RNAcentral lists this ribosomal RNA (491 nucleotides) under Anaplasma phagocytophilum. Its description in RNAcentral is "bacterial SSU rRNA". It matches the Rfam family "Bacterial small subunit ribosomal RNA", at positions 110 to 637 of the family's 1533-position model. The record is from RNAcentral. Lineage: Bacteria; Pseudomonadati; Pseudomonadota; Alphaproteobacteria; Rickettsiales; Anaplasmataceae.
AGAAUGCAUAGGAAUCACCUAGUAGUAUGGGAUAGCCACUAGAAAUGGUGGGUAAUACUGUAUAAUCCCUGCGGGGGAAAGAUUUAUCGCUAUUAGAUGAGCCUAUGUUAGAUUAGCUAGUUGGUAGGGUAAAGGCCUACCAAGGCGAUGAUCUAUAGCUGGUCUGAGAGGAUGAUCAGCCACACUGGAACUGAGAUACGGUCCAGACUCCUACGGGAGGCAGCAGUGGGGAAUAUUGGACAAUGGGCGCAAGCCUGAUCCAGCUAUGCCGCGUGAGUGAGGAAGGCCUUAGGGUUGUAAAACUCUUUCAGUAGGGAAGAUAAUGACGGUACCUACAGAAGAAGUCCCGGCAAACUCCGUGCCAGCAGCCGCGGUAAUACGGAGGGGGCAAGCGUUGUUCGGAAUUAUUGGGCGUAAAGGGCAUGUAGGCGGUUCGGUAAGUUAAAGGUGAAAUGCCAGGGCUUAACCCUGGAGCUGCUUUUAAUACUGCC